UACGUAGGGUGCAAGCGUUGUCCGGAAUUAUUGGGCGUAAAGAGCUCGUAGGCGGUUCGUCGCGUCGGCUGUGAAAACCCGGAGCUCAACUCCGGGCCUGCAGUCGAUACGGGCGGACUCGAGUUCGGCAGGGGAGACUGGAAUUCCUGGUGUAGCGGUGAAAUGCGCAGAUAUCAGGAGGAACACCGGUGGCGAAGGCGGGUCUCUGGGCCGAUACUGACGCUGAGGAGCGAAAGCGUGGGGAGCGAACAGG
RNAcentral lists this ribosomal RNA (253 nucleotides) under uncultured bacterium. Its description in RNAcentral is "partial 16S ribosomal RNA". It matches the Rfam family "Bacterial small subunit ribosomal RNA", at positions 524 to 776 of the family's 1533-position model. The record is from RNAcentral.